Cricetulus griseus (Chinese hamster) is the source of this 122-nucleotide small nucleolar RNA. Its record names the gene SNORA71. It matches the Rfam family "Small nucleolar RNA SNORA71". From Rfam's summary of the family: The members of this family belong to the H/ACA class of snoRNAs which bind a number of proteins (including dyskerin, Gar1p and Nop10p) to form snoRNP complexes. The record is from Ensembl. Lineage: Eukaryota; Metazoa; Chordata; Mammalia; Rodentia; Cricetidae.
CAUUGCAUUCAACAGUGAUCUUGGCUGCCUGUGUCCCAGUCAUGAAAGUUCAGAGAAAGGAUACUGAAAGAGAUGUUCCCCAAGUUUGGGGCAUCCAUCCUGACCCCUGGAGCUUUCCUACA